UACAAGGAAUUGACGGGGAGCACUACGAACGGGUGGAGCCUGCGGUUUAAUUGGAUUCAACGCCGGAAUCUCGACCGGGGGCGACAGCAAUAUGAAGGUCAGGCUGAAGACCUUACCGGAUUAGCUGAGAGGUGGUGCAUGGCCGUCGUCAGUUCGUACUGUGAAGCAUCCUGUUAAGUCAGGCAACGAGCGAGACCCACGUCCACAGUUGCCAGCAUACCCUCCGGGGUGAUGGGUACACUGUGGAGACCGCCGCUGCUAAAGCGGAGGAAGGAAUGGGCAACGGUAGGUCAGUAUGCCCCGAAUCUCCCGGGCUACACGCGGGCUACAAUGGUUGGUACAAUGGGCAUCUACCCCGAAAGGGGAAGGAAAUCUCUUAAAGCCAAUCGUAGUUCGGAUUGAGGGCUGCAACUCGCCCUCAUGAAGCUGGAAUCCGUAGUAAUCGCGUUUCAACAGAACGCGGUGAAUACGUCCCUGCUCCUU
Molecule: ribosomal RNA, 483 nt
Filed under: uncultured Methanosaeta sp.
Lineage: Archaea; Methanobacteriati; Methanobacteriota; Methanomicrobia; Methanotrichales; Methanotrichaceae
Description: bacterial SSU rRNA
Rfam family: Archaeal small subunit ribosomal RNA
Source: RNAcentral